UACGUAGGGUGCAAGCGUUAAUCGGAAUUACUGGGCGUAAAGCGCACGUAGGCGGGUUCUUAAGUCAGUGGUGAAAUCCUGGAGCUCAACUCCAGAACUGCCUUCGAAACUGGGAAUCUUGAGUCCGGGAGAGGUGAGUGGAACUGCGAGUGUAGAGGUGAAAUUCGUAGAUAUUCGCAAGAACACCAGUGGCGAAGGCGGCUCACUGGCCCGGUACUGACGCUGAGGUGCGAAAGCGUGGGGAGCAAACAGG
This 253-nucleotide ribosomal RNA is filed under the name uncultured bacterium. Its description in RNAcentral is "partial 16S ribosomal RNA". It matches the Rfam family "Bacterial small subunit ribosomal RNA", at positions 524 to 776 of the family's 1533-position model. The record is from RNAcentral.